AGCUUUGCACAGUGGCAGUAUCGUAGCCAAUGAGGUUUAUCUGAGGCACGAUUAUUGCUAAGUGCUAAUUGAAUGCUGUGGGGUUAUCAGUAAGCUAUUGAGGAAACCAGGUUCAUGGAGGUUGAAUAUUCAG
This 133-nucleotide small nuclear RNA is filed under the name Salvator merianae (Argentine black and white tegu). Its description in RNAcentral is "U4 spliceosomal RNA (ENSSMRG00000018865.1)". It matches the Rfam family "U4 spliceosomal RNA". Rfam says of the family: U4 small nuclear RNA (U4 snRNA) is a component of the major U2-dependent spliceosome. The structure of U4 snRNA from yeast and human has been reported. U4 snRNA presents a k-turn RNA motif in the 5p-SL related to recognition of Snu13 protein. The record is from Rfam by way of RNAcentral. Lineage: Eukaryota; Metazoa; Chordata; Lepidosauria; Squamata; Teiidae.